Molecule: ribosomal RNA, 497 nt
Filed under: uncultured bacterium
Lineage: Bacteria
Description: partial 16S ribosomal RNA
Rfam family: Bacterial small subunit ribosomal RNA
Source: RNAcentral
GAUGAACGCUGGCGGCGUGCCUAAUACAUGCAAGUCGAGCGAACAGACGAGGAGCUUGCUCCUCUGACGUUAGCGGCGGACGGGUGAGUAACACGUGGAUAACCUACCUAUAAGACUGGGAUAACUUCGGGAAACCGGAGCUAAUACCGGAUAAUAUAUUGAACCGCAUGGUUCAAUAGUGAAAGACGGUUUUGCUGUCACUUAUAGAUGGAUCCGCGCCGCAUUAGCUAGUUGGUAAGGUAACGGCUUACCAAGGCAACGAUGCGUAGCCGACCUGAGAGGGUGAUCGGCCACACUGGAACUGAGACACGGUCCCGACUCCUACGGGAGGCAGCAGUAGGGAAUCUUCCGCGAUGGGCGAAAGCCUGACGGAGCAACGCCGCGUGAGUGAUGAAGGUCUUCGGAUCGUAAAACUCUGUUAUUAGGGAAGAACAAAUGUGUAAGUAACUAUGCACGUCUUGACGGUACCUAAUCAGAAAGCCACGGCUAACUACGUG